This 783-nucleotide long non-coding RNA is filed under the name Salmo salar (Atlantic salmon). RNAcentral describes it as "lncRNA (ENSSSAG00000082389.1)". The record is from RNAcentral. Lineage: Eukaryota; Metazoa; Chordata; Actinopteri; Salmoniformes; Salmonidae.
CUUCAUCUUCAGAAGGAGAGAUGCCCUGAGGCCGACGAGGGGAAGGAGACUUCAUCUUCAGAAGGAGAGAUGCCCUGAGGCUGACGAGGGGAAAGAGACUUCAUCUUCAGAAGGAGAGAUGCCCUGAGGCUGACGAGGGGAAGGAGACUUCAUCUUCAGAAGGAGAGAUGCCCUGAGGCUGACGAGGGGAAGAAGACUUCAUCUUCAGAAGGAGAGAUGCCCUGAGACUGACGAGGGGAAGGAGAGAUGCCCUGAGGUUGACGAGGGGAAGGAGACUUCAUCUUCAGAAGGAGAGAUGUCCUGACGAGGGUAGGAGAGAUGUCCUGAGGCUGACGAGGGGAAGGAGAGAUGCCCUGAGGCUGACGAGGGGCUGGAGACUUCAUCUUCAGAAGGAGAGAUGCGCUGAGGCUGACGAGGGGAAGUAGAGAUAACCUGAGGCUGAUGAGGGGAAGGAGAGGUGUCCCGAGCCUGACAAGGGAUAGGAGAGAUGCCCUGAGACUGACGAGGGGAAGUACACUUCAUCUUCAGAAUGAGAGAUGCCCUGAGGCUGACGAGGGGAAGGAGAGAUGCCCUGAGGCUGACGAGGGGAAGGAGACUUCAUCUUCAGAAGUAGAGAUGCCCUGAGGCCGACGAGGGGAAGGAGACUUCAUCUUCAGAAGGAGAGAUGCCCUGAGGCUGACGAGGGGAAAGAGACUUCAUCUUCAGAAGGAGAGAUGCCCUGAGGCUGACGAGGGGAAGGAGACUUCAUCUUCAGAAGGAGAGAUGCCCUGAGGCUGACGAGGG